This 460-nucleotide ribosomal RNA is filed under the name uncultured bacterium. RNAcentral's name for it is "bacterial SSU rRNA". It matches the Rfam family "Bacterial small subunit ribosomal RNA", at positions 340 to 786 of the family's 1533-position model. The record is from RNAcentral.
UACGGGAGGCAGCAGUGGGGGAAUAUUGCACAAUGGGCGAAAGCCUGAUGCAGCUAUGCCGCGUGUAUGAAGAAGGCCUUAGGGUUGUAAAGUACUUUCAUCGGGGAGGAAAAAAACAAAACUAAUAAUUUUAUUUCUUGACGUUACCCGAAAAAGAAGCACCGGCUAACUCCGUGCCAGCAGCCGCGGUAAUACGGAGGGUGCUAGCGUUAAUCAGAAUUACUGGGCGUAAAGAGCACGUAGGUGGUUUUUUUAAAGUCAGAUGUGAAAUCCCUGGGCUUUAACCUAGGAACUGCAUUUUGAAACUGAAAUACUAGAGUAUCGUAGAGGAAGGUAGAAUUCUAGGUGUAGCGGUGAAAUGCGUAGAUAUCUGGAGGAAUACCUGUGGCGAAAGCGGCCUCCUAAAUGAAUACUGACACUGAGGUGCGAAAGCGUGGGGAGCAAACAGGGAUUAGAUACC